AUUGAACGCUGGCGGAAUGCUUUACACAUGCAAGUCGAACGGCAGCACGGACUUCGGUCUGGUGGCGAGUGGCGAACGGGUGAGUAAUGUAUCGGAACGUGCCCAGUCGUGGGGGAUAACGUAGUGAAAAUUACGCUAAUACCGCAUACGAUCUAUGGAUGAAAGCGGGGGAUCGCAAGACCUCGCGCGAUUGGAGCGGCCGAUAUCAGAUUAGGUAGUUGGUGGGGUAAAGGCCCACCAAGCCAACGAUCUGUAGCUGGUCUGAGAGGAUGAUCCGCCACACUGGGACUGAGACACGGCCCAGACUCCUACGGGAGGCAGCAGUGGGGAAUUUUGGACAAUGGGCGAAAGCCUGAUCCAGCCAUUCCGCGUGCAGGAUGAAGGCCCUCGGGUUGUAAACUGCUUUUGUACAGAACGAAAAGGUUUCUACUAAUACUAGGAGCUCAUGACGGUACUGUAAGAAUAAGCACCGGCUAACUACGUGCCAGCCGCCGCCGUAA
This 500-nucleotide ribosomal RNA is filed under the name uncultured bacterium. Its description in RNAcentral is "partial 16S ribosomal RNA". It matches the Rfam family "Bacterial small subunit ribosomal RNA", at positions 30 to 523 of the family's 1533-position model. The record is from RNAcentral.